RNAcentral lists this ribosomal RNA (562 nucleotides) under uncultured organism. RNAcentral describes it as "SSU rRNA". It matches the Rfam family "Bacterial small subunit ribosomal RNA", at positions 28 to 558 of the family's 1533-position model. The record is from RNAcentral.
GACGAACGCAGGCGGCGUGCUUAACACAUGCAAGUCGAACGAAGAGCAAUGGAAGCAUGCUUCUAUCAAUCUUAGUGGCGAACGGGUGAGUAACGCGUAAUCAACCUGCCCUUCAGAGGGGGACAACAGUUGGAAACGACUGCUAAUACCGCAUACGAUCUAAUCUCGGCAUCGAGGAUGGAUGAAAGGUGGCCUCUAUUUAUAAGCUAUCACUGAAGGAGGGGAUUGCGUCUGAUUAGCUAGUUGGAGGGGUAACGGCCCACCAAGGCGAUGAUCAGUAGCCGGUCUGAGAGGAUGAACGGCCACAUUGGGACUGAGACACGGCCCAGACUCCUACGGGAGGCAGCAGUGGGGAAUCUUCCGCAGUGGACGAAAGUCUGACGGAGCAACGCCGCGUGAGUGAUGACGGCCUUCGGGUUGUAAAGCUCUGUUAAUCACGGACGAACGGCCUUCUUGCGAAUAGAUAGAAGGAUUGACGGUACCGGAAUAGACAGCCACGGCUAACUACGUGCCAGCAUCCGCGGUAAUACGUAGGUGGCAAGCGUUGUCCGGAAUUAUUGGG